Long non-coding RNA from Spinacia oleracea (spinach), 3437 nucleotides. RefSeq lists it as uncharacterized. NCBI's taxonomy places the organism in Eukaryota, Viridiplantae, Streptophyta, Magnoliopsida, Caryophyllales, Amaranthaceae. The transcript is spliced from 6 exons. The record is from RefSeq and is a predicted model, not a curated record.
CAUGCUCUCUCUUCCUCUUGUCCGUCCCCUUGCCCGCACUCGACCGAGCAUUCCGCUCGUUGGUGCGCCCGUGCCUUCGCGCAACAUCCCUCGUCCCACCUUGUUGCUCGUGUGAUGCUGCCUCUCGCACAGCACACCCACUCCCUCACAUUCUUUCGUCGCAUCCCUCGCCCAGCACGUAUGCCAUACACUACUAGAAAAUCUAUAAUUAACAACAACGUAUUAACAACGAAGUUCAUUUGUAGUCGUUAGAACAAUAGCGCGCUUCUUUAGUACGACCAAGAAAUAAAUUUGUCGUUAAUGGUGAAAAGAAAAAGGGAAAAAGAAAAAAUAAAACAACGUUGUUCGUCGUUGUAUCGAAUUCUAUAGCAUAUCUCUGAUGUUUUAAGCACACUUCAAAAUCCUCUCACCUCUAACCUAAAAGUCUAAAGCCAUCAAUUGAAACUGCUUCUGGAGAUUUAUAUCUACAAAUUUUGAUUUUCAAAUUUAUCUAGCCUCAUCCGUCUUCGAUAUCUUUUCCAAUUUGAGUAAUUUCAUUUCCAUCGUAAUAGGGGUUGAUUUAGGCUCUUGGUUCAAGUGAUUGCUGAAGUUGAGCUGUCAAAUUCUUGAAUCGCAAUAGUCUAGUACUGAUUUUACAGAAAACGCGGGAGAUUAAUUGCGAGUGCAUACGUCGUCGACGGCGGAUUUGAGAGAAAGGACCAGAGAAGCCAAGGAACAAAAAAAAUCCGACUUUGUUAAUAUCGACGUUGAGGCGUUGAGCCGGUUUGGAAUGCUCUUACACAUUAUAAACUUCUGGUUGAUUUUGUACCUAAUCUUGUUUUGUUUGUAGAGUUUCAGCAACGGAAGAUGAGCAUAGAGGUCCAUAUAUCGAUGAGCAGAGAAGGAGUAAGCGGAUGAGCAAGAUAAGGCAUUUAAGGAACCUUAUUCAUCUCUGUGUUUCAUUUAAACGGUUUUGACCCUUUUCAUAUUUUAAUGAGUUACAAAAGUUAGAUGUCAAUUUUUUUUAGUUGACUCUAUUUAAUCCCUUAUAAUAGUAAUAAUAUCAUGUGUGGUAUGUGUACACUAUUUUUUGACUGAGCAUGUGUGCGUGGCCAGAGGUAAGUGCGACAUAGUGCGGGUCUGUAAAAUUCUUUUUUAGUCACAGAUAUUGCAUGCUAACUGUCUUUUUUCUAGAGUAAAUGAUAUAUUAAAAAUAAGAGAUGAAAUAUGGUUAUUUUCUUCUCCUGCUAAUUACAUUAGAGGCAAUGGUCCAAUAUCUUCUGGAUAGACGUUCAUCAGGUUCAUUACUUCUCUUGUGUUCUAGCGUGAAUAGUCACUAACAGCUGCAGACUGAUGCUGGUUGUUUGCCUAUUUGUGAGAAAAUAGGGGUGAAAAACUUGGACACAGUACCUCAAUUUACACUUUGACGUAGCCAGUUGACCAGAUUAGAUAGCCCUUCGGUUAGCAUUUGUGGAGGAAACUUUGUUCAUUAGCCUGACCUAAGUGUUCUGGUUCAAAUUAGUUUACAAGCUUUUGCAGGUUGAUAAAGACGUGAAGAAAUCAGACUCUGAAUUUUCCUUCCUUGGAAUUGCGAGUAGUUAAACUAUUUGAUACUCCAUAAUUCUUUGCAGAUUGACACUAAAUUUAUGGAAGUGAUGACAUUCAGAGAACACCACGUGGCAUUUUUUUUUAGAAGUUGGAUCUAUUCUUCGUCUGUCUGCUGCUACAACGCCUGUGCUUUAAAAUCCAAGUUUAGGGAACAGAACCUGCAGCAACUUAGUGGAUGCCCUUCCAAGAAUAUGCAAUGCAAUCUUUUGUUCAGAGAUAUGAGAUAUGAGCUCCAGAGGUAUAUGGUUAAAAUUUGCAACACAAGAAUGGAGGGUCAGUAUUCAAGAUUUCCGGCCAGCCGUGGCUAUCAAACCAAGCUUUAGAGAUGGACGCUAAUUCAUGUACUUCAAUAAUCAGGCUUUCAAAUGAGAUACAUAACUAACUAUGUACAACAUAUAUAAAAUAUCGUACACUGGAUAUGCACAUCAUUACACUAGAAUAUAUUAAAGGGUGUCAUUACUUAAUGACACUCAAGAGAACAUUUCAACUAGUUAGAUUUUACGGUUUUUUCAUGAAAUGCCCUCGAGGUUUGCAAAAAUGCAACAAAUACCCUCGCGUGUUUCGAUUCACAUAACAUACCCCUAUUUUUUCGUACUGUUCAUGAGAUGCACUUGGAGCUAACGGACGUUAGUCUACCGUUAGUUGCAAUUUACCAUUUUGCCCUUAAUGAUGUUUUUCGACAUAAAUUCCAAAAAAAUCUCAAACUUCUUAUCUUUCUCUCUCCUCUCCCCUGUUCUUCCUCUUUCUCUCUCCUCUCCCCUGUUCUCUGGUCGGCGGUGGUCGAUCUCCUUCGCGCGCCACCGCAAUGUUCUUCGGUGUAGAUCGAGAUCCUUCACGCGCCAUCAAAUUUAAAUGGAUUGUUCUUGAAUUCACUCCUCCCUCAAUUCUUAAUUGUGCUCUCUACCAUUGUUGACCAAGGUUGGAAGCUUUAACCGUGAUGACAAUGCCGCACCUGCUGCAAGAAUGGGUUUAGAUCAGAGAAGAAAGGUCGGGAAUGGAGAAAAACAAGACUGCAGAAGAGAAAUUAAAGGGAAAUCGUAUUGAUAACCAACCAAUGAAACCAGCUUGCAUUCGAGAGGCUAGACUAUCCCAACCACAAAGCUGCUAAAACAUGAUUUCUGAAUGGAUCACUUCUCUUUUAUCUCCUCUUGUAAUUACAUUUCUCAGUGGCAUACAAGCUGACUUUCCAAUCCCCAUAGUGAUGCUACAUUGCUAGCAGCAGCAAUGUCUCCUCUUUUUCUUUUGUUUCUUUUCCUUGCAUUCACGCCAAGUGCAUCCAGCCUUCCAGGUAGGGCAAUACGCAGAGUGAAUAAAGAUUUUCAAAGCCUCCUAACAGGGGAUGUAAUAAAGCACUCUUAAACGCUAUAUAAAUCUUGUUAUUCCACAAUUUUAUUUGAUUAUUACUUAUAUUUCUGUUUUAGGUUUAACUUUUAGGUUGAUUAAAUUGAUUUAGGUGAACGAUUUGUGGAAAUCAAAUUCUGCAGUUUAAAAGCAGUUUGGGUAUUUGGUGCAACUUAGUUUCAAAAUAGGUGUAUUUUGUGAAUUAUAAACACAACUUAACGGAGGACUAACGGAAAGUCGGUUUAGGGGUAUUUGGUGCAAACUUGGGAAAAAAUAGGGGUAUAUUAUGUGAUUCAAAAGACGCGAGGGUAUUUGGUGCGUUUUUGCAAACCUCAAGGGCAUUUCAUGAAAAAACCGUAGAUUUUAUUUUGUUCUUUUAGAUUAAACAAGAAUUACUUAUCUUUUAUUUUUUUUGAAUUUAAAGAUGAGUGUUGUGAUUUUUGGUUUCACAUAACUUGAAAUUCAAAUGUCAAUAAUCUUUCAAGUAAUGAAAUUUUCAUUUGUUUUAA